GACGAACGCUGGCGGCGUGCUUAACACAUGCAAGUCGAACGGAAACGCCCUGCUUUUUUGCGGUGCGCUAGUUGCGAACGGGUAAGUAACACGUGAGUAACCUGCCCUUGACUUUGGGAUAACUUCAUGAAGCUGAGUCUAAUAGCGGAUAGGAUCUCUUGCUGCAGGGUGGGCGUUGGAAAGUUUCGGCGGUUGGUGAUGGACUCGCGGCUUAUCAGAUUGUUGGUUGGGUAGUGGCUUACCAAGGCUUUGACCGGUAGCCGGCCUGAGAGGGUGACCGGACACAUUGGGACUGAGAUACGGCCCAGACUACUACGGGAGGCAGCAGUGGAGAAUAUUGCACAAUGGGAGGAAGCAUGAUGCAGCCAAGCAGCGUGCGGGAUGACGGCAUUCGGGUAGUAAACCGAAUUCGCCUGUCACGAAGCGUGAGUGACGGUAAUGGGUGAAGAAGCACCGGCUAACUACGUG
RNAcentral lists this ribosomal RNA (468 nucleotides) under uncultured bacterium. RNAcentral's name for it is "partial 16S ribosomal RNA". It matches the Rfam family "Bacterial small subunit ribosomal RNA", at positions 28 to 507 of the family's 1533-position model. The record is from RNAcentral.